UACAGAGGGUGCAAGCGUUAAUCGGAAUUACUGGGCGUAAAGCGUGCGUAGACGGUUGCGUAAGUCAGAUGUGAAAGCCCCGGGCUCAACCUGGGAAUUGCAUUUGAGACUGCGUAGCUAGGGUGCGGAAGAGGGAAGCGGAAUUUCCGGUGUAGCGGUGAAAUGCGUAGAUAUCAGGAAGAACACCAAUGGCGAAGGCAGCUCUCUGGGACGGUACUGACGCUGAGACGCGAAAGCGUGGGGAGCGAACAGG
Molecule: ribosomal RNA, 253 nt
Filed under: uncultured bacterium
Lineage: Bacteria
Description: partial 16S ribosomal RNA
Rfam family: Bacterial small subunit ribosomal RNA
Source: RNAcentral